AUUGAACGCUGGCGGCAUGCCUUACACAUGCAAGUCGAACGGUAACGGGCCUUCGGGUGCCGACGAGUGGCGAACGGGUGAGUAAUACAUCGGAACGUGCCCGAUCGUGGGGGAUAACGAGGCGAAAGCUUUGCUAAUACCGCAUACGAUCUACGGAUGAAAGCAGGGGACCGCAAGGCCUUGCGCGGACGGAGCGGCCGAUGGCAGAUUAGGUAGUUGGUGGGAUAAAAGCUUACCAAGCCGACGAUCUGUAGCUGGUCUGAGAGGAUGAUCAGCCACACUGGGACUGAGACACGGCCCAGACUCCUACGGGAGGCAGCAGUGGGGAAUUUUGGACAAUGGGCGCAAGCCUGAUCCAGCCAUGCCGCGUGCAGGAUGAAGGCCUUCGGGCUGUAAACUGCUUUUGUACGGAACGAAAAGCCUUCUUUUAAUACAGGAGGGUCAUGACGGUACCGUAAGGAUAAGCACCGGCUAACUACGUG
Molecule: ribosomal RNA, 482 nt
Filed under: uncultured bacterium
Lineage: Bacteria
Description: partial 16S ribosomal RNA
Rfam family: Bacterial small subunit ribosomal RNA
Source: RNAcentral